CUCAACAGAUCUCGGGAAUAGAGGCCAGAGACAAUCAACAAGAUUCGUACUAUCUUCAGAAGGUAUUUGAAUACCAGUUGUACUCCAGAUACAGAGAAACUGGAAAACAAAACAAAACAAAAAAUGAAUUCUGCAAUGUGGGGAUGAGAAGAGAGACAUGGAAGGCACUGGGGUCUGUGGGGCUUUGGGUAAGGCUGGGCUGGCUAAGGAGCCUUGGGGAUAAGAGGAUGCUGAGACCUGAGCAGAUGCUUAGCUUUUCCUCCCUGCAGUCACAAACAGACACCAUCCUGCACAUCUGGGACGCUAUGCGAAGUUCCUCUAUCGAAGCUGGCAUUUCCCAGGCAGACUGCAGCCUUCACCCAGCUCAGGCUCCUUACUCUUUGGAUGAAAAUCCUGAAAGCUUUUCUGCUUAGUUGGAUUCUCAGCGCUCCGCAGCUUGUUAUUCCCGGAUCAGAUCGAGCUAUUCAUUCGUUCCUUUGUUCCCUCUUUCAGUCAGGCAAGCAGGCAGCAAGAGCAGCGGUGCCAACAUGUUUGGAGUGACUCAGGACUGACUCAGGACAGCAGCGCCAUUCAAGGGUUCUGAGGAUCCACCGCCAGGGGCGGGAGAAGAAGCUUGCCCAGGUUCUUCCUUGUAUGGGUUUUGCUCGUUCUUCCUAUUUCUGUGAAGGACCUUACCUGAAUAGUAACAGCGAGCCUUGACUGUUUCUCUGAGGGACAUCUUAGACAGGGUGAGGGCAGCGCCCAGGGCAAGGCUGGCUCGAACUGAGGCAGCGUGCUCUACUAGCGAGAAUGGGAGUCUUUUCUGGGAAAAGAAAGCGAAAGUGGAGGUGGGUCCUUGGAUCGCCUAGAGGAGAAAGCCAAGCCCUGGGGUCAAGAGGAGACGCCCGGAAACCUGAAAGAGCAGGAAGAGCCCAGGUCCAAUCUGAGCCCCAGUCCAGGAGUUUCAUCAGAUCUGCCGGCUUCUCUGGCCCCUACCGCCAGUCCACAGAUUCUUCAAGUCACCCUGCAGCUAAGCAGAUCAAGCUCGCAGUACGAGGACCAGUCAGGGCAGGGGCGCUCUUAUACGCAAUGCAGGGCAGUCUGGGCUCCAGGUCCCUGGUUCAAAGGAGAGCCGGGCCUCAAAGGAGCAGGACUCGGUGUCUGGAGGAUACAAGAGGUGAUUUUCAUACAAAAGAGAAGCUACUUCAUGAACAGCCUGUGCAGUGUCAGAAGUAAUCAAGCAAGAAACUUUGGUUUCUGCCCUUGGGGAGCUUCCAGUCUUGAGAGCCAAUCACGCUAACAUACAAGCAGCUGGAGACACAAGCAUACAGAAGCUUCAACAAAAUACUACUGGAGGCUUGUAGAGAAUCAUUUCCAUCUGAGACAUUUGGGGAAGACUUCUUGGAAGAGGUGAAAAUUGUAAACGGAUAAAGAGAUUUCUACAGAUUUAGUGAGAGAGGGGACAUUUGGGGCACAGGGAAAGGUAUUGACAAAGAUAUAGAGAUGUGUAAGUAUAGGACUUGGACUCUUAGGAGGAAGAUUGACCCCUGCUCCCAAACAGGGGAAGAGGAAAUCUUCCUCAUUUAUGAACACUUUGGGUGGAAGGAGGCUAUGAAGGCUGAAGGACUUCUCUAAUGAAGAAAUAAGCCACAUUCUUGAUACUUGGGGCAAUUUAUUCACUCAGUUUAUCUGUAAACAAGGAAUCUCUUUGGUAAUGAAAUCAAUCAGGUAUUGCCACAUGGCAAAGGGAAAGAGAAGCCCUCAAAAGUCCAGAAGACUCACCUCUAAUUGAGGUCUGAGAGAGGCUCUAGAAAGGGAUAUCACAAAGUGCUUAAGUUUACAGAGAAGACAGGAAAUGGGCUUUUUUCCUCUACCUGACUCUGGGCUUGCUCAGAUAACAAAUGGCUGGAAACUCUGGGUAGAUGGCCACAGGCUCUUCCUCUCCCAGCUAGCCAGUCAGGUAGGACUUGAGCAUCUCUCUAUACUUUCAUCAUUUAAUAAAUAAGUUAUAAAAUGAAGAUCUGGUACA
This 2008-nucleotide long non-coding RNA is filed under the name Monodelphis domestica (gray short-tailed opossum). Its description in RNAcentral is "lncRNA (ENSMODG00000042444.1)". Lineage: Eukaryota; Metazoa; Chordata; Mammalia; Didelphimorphia; Didelphidae. The record is from RNAcentral.